This 421-nucleotide ribosomal RNA is filed under the name uncultured bacterium. Its description in RNAcentral is "partial 16S ribosomal RNA". It matches the Rfam family "Bacterial small subunit ribosomal RNA", at positions 360 to 775 of the family's 1533-position model. The record is from RNAcentral.
AAUCUUGCGCAAUGGGCGAAAGCCUGACGGAGCAACGCCGCGUGAGUGAUGAAGGUUUUCGGAUCGUAAAGCUCUGUUGCCAGGGAAGAACGGCUCAUAGUUAACUGCUGUGAGAUUGACGGUACCUGAGAAGAAAGCCCCGGCUAACUACGUGCCAGCAGCCGCGGUAAUACGUAGGGGGCAAGCGUUGUCCGGAAUUAUUGGGCGUAAAGCGCGCGCAGGCGGCUUUUUAAGUCAGGUGUUUAAUGCUGGGGCUCAACCCUGGUACGCACCUGAAACUGGGAAGCUUGAGUGCAGUAGAGGAGAGCGGAAUUCCACGUGUAGCGGUGAAAUGCGUAGAGAUGUGGAGGAACACCAGUGGCGAAGGCGGCUCUCUGGCCUGUAACUGACGCUGAGGCGCGAAAGCGUGGGGAGCAAACAG